This 600-nucleotide long non-coding RNA is filed under the name Mytilus galloprovincialis (Mediterranean mussel). Lineage: Eukaryota; Metazoa; Mollusca; Bivalvia; Mytilida; Mytilidae. The record is from RNAcentral.
GGUCUUCAAGGCAAAGCUUGGUUCACACCAAACAGCAAUUUUAUAUAGUCCAUAUCAAUCAUGACAAUGGCGUUUGGGGUUAAACAUGUUUUCGUAGGUAAAUAAUAUUGCCAUGGAACUUUUUUCAUGAGAGUGUUAUAGUCUAUAGAGUAUUACUUCCUGUUUGGUGGAAUAGUGAAAUAGAAGUCAAUACGUUCUUGCUCAAUCCUAUGUCGCUUUGAAGGUGUCAUGAUUGUCAUCCUCAGCUUAAGCAAUGUGUUACUGUAAUUUGAAUUUCAAAAUGACUGAGCGACGUUUUUCGAAGCACUGGUCAACUCCACCAUAGCGAAUCACAUGACUUUGACAAUCAGUAAAUUCCAGCGAAAAAUAUCUCUAUAAGGAAAGAAUUGUCGGAUAAAAAUUAAAUAAUAGAGUACACAGGAAAUGGCAAAGUUCACAUAGUCGCGUAUGAUUAAUCAUUUAAAAAAAAAAAAAAAAAAAAAAAAAGAGCAAAAAGGGGGGGGAUGGGGCGUACGCCCUCUACGUCCCCCUCUGGAUCCGCCACUGCCUUCUGUUGUUGUCCAUUUUGUCAAGUAGUAAUCCUCAAAAGUAUGUGUAGGU